RNAcentral lists this ribosomal RNA (504 nucleotides) under uncultured Glomus. RNAcentral's name for it is "SSU rRNA". It matches the Rfam family "Eukaryotic small subunit ribosomal RNA", at positions 569 to 1078 of the family's 1831-position model. The record is from RNAcentral. Lineage: Eukaryota; Fungi; Glomeromycota; Glomeromycetes; Glomerales; Glomeraceae.
AGCAGCCGCGGUAAUUCCAGCUCCAAUAGCGUAUAUUAAAGUUGUUGCAGUUAAAAAGCUCGUAGUUGAAUUUCGGGAUCAAAUUGUCGGUCGUGCCUCGGUACGCACUGGUAUUAUUGGUUCCUACCUUCUGAAGAACCGCGAUGUCAUUAAUUUGGUGUCGUGGGGAAUCAGGACUGUUACUUUGAAAAAAUUAGAGUGUUUAAAGCAGGCUUACGCUUGAAUACAUUAGCAUGGAAUAAUGAAAUAGGACGUUUGAUUCUAUUUUGUUGGUUUCUAGGAUUGACGUAAUGAUUAAUAGGGAUAGUUGGGGGCAUUAGUAUUCAAUUGUCAGAGGUGAAAUUCUUGGAUUUAUUGAAGACUAACUACUGCGAAAGCAUUUGCCAAGGAUGUUUUCAUUAAUCAAGAACGAAAGUUAGGGGAUCGAAGACGAUCAGAUACCGUCGUAGUCUUAACCAUAAACUAUGCCGACUAGGGAUCGGAUGAUGUUAAUUUAAUGACUCA